AAACCCUACCAAAACAGCAACAAUCCAGCAACAAGCUCUCUAAGGAUCUACACACCAACAAUUACCAAAACUCCAUCAAUAAUUCAAAAUUCAGCACUUAAGCUUAAAUUAGUCUCAAUCUCAAUGUCAACUUCAGCUUCCAAUCUUCAAAUCUGAUGAAAUAAAGUUUCACAACCUGUGAACUAUGAUGGAGUAUCACCCUCUGGUCCAAAAUCUAACUUCCUCCAAAGAUUGAAUCAAGAAAACCCAAAAACUCUCAAUUUCAGUCCAAAAACACCAGCAUCACAGAAAAAUGCCAAAUUGACUAUGCUAACCUCAAUCAAAUACUGUCAAAAUG
RNAcentral lists this long non-coding RNA (337 nucleotides) under Ananas comosus (pineapple). RNAcentral describes it as "long non-coding RNA (ACOM_LNC041008)". Lineage: Eukaryota; Viridiplantae; Streptophyta; Magnoliopsida; Poales; Bromeliaceae. The record is from RNAcentral.